This 253-nucleotide ribosomal RNA is filed under the name uncultured bacterium. RNAcentral describes it as "partial 16S ribosomal RNA". It matches the Rfam family "Bacterial small subunit ribosomal RNA", at positions 524 to 776 of the family's 1533-position model. The record is from RNAcentral.
UACGUAGGGGGCAAGCGUUGUCCGGAAUCACUGGGCGUAAAGGGCGCGUAGGCGGCUCGGUAAGUCGGGGGUGAAAUCCUGCGGCUUAACCGCAGGGCUGCCUUCUAAACUGUCGAGCUCGAGCACGGUAGAGGCAGAUGGAAUUCCCGGUGUAGCGGUGGAAUGCGUAGAGAUCGGGAAGAACAUCAGUGGCGAAGGCGGUCUGCUGGGCCGUUGCUGACGCUGAGGCGCGACAGCGUGGGGAGCAAACAGG